Molecule: ribosomal RNA, 485 nt
Filed under: uncultured Leifsonia sp.
Lineage: Bacteria; Bacillati; Actinomycetota; Actinomycetes; Micrococcales; Microbacteriaceae
Description: partial 16S ribosomal RNA
Source: RNAcentral
CACGUAGUUAGCCGGUGCUUUUCUGCAGGUACCGUCACUUUCGCUUCUUCCCUACUAAAAGAGGUUUACAACCCGAAGGCCGUCGUCCCUCACGCGGCGUUGCUGCAUCAGGCUUGCGCCCAUUGUGCAAUAUUCCCCACUGCUGCCUCCCGUAGGAGUCUGGGCCGUGUCUCAGUCCCAGUGUGGCCGGUCACCCUCUCAGGCCGGCUACCCGUCGUCGCCUUGGUGAGCCAUUACCUCACCAACAAGCUGAUAGGCCGCGAGUCCAUCCUUGACCGAAAUUCUUUCCACCCCCAGGAGAUGCCUCCGAAGGUCGUAUCCGGUAUUAGACGUCGUUUCCAACGCUUAUCCCAGAGUCAAGGGCAGGUUACUCACGUGUUACUCACCCGUUCGCCACUGAUCCACAGAGCAAGCUCUGCUUCACCGUUCGACUUGCAUGUGUUAAGCACGCCGCCAGCGUUCGUCCUGAGCCAGGAUCAAACUCU